This 611-nucleotide long non-coding RNA is filed under the name Hordeum vulgare. RNAcentral's name for it is "long non-coding RNA (HVUL_LNC013012)". Lineage: Eukaryota; Viridiplantae; Streptophyta; Magnoliopsida; Poales; Poaceae. The record is from RNAcentral.
CCAACAACUAUUCCUUUUCUAAGUCUCUGUCCAUAGUUUCUGCAAAUAUUGUUUUGUUUGGAAUUAAUAUGCAAUAAAACCAUUGCCAAAAUAUGCUGAUCAAGAGAGCAUCUUCUAAAUCAUUCGUCAAAUUUCAAUUCUCUCUAUGAUCGGCCUCUCCCUUGUUGGAUUAUGUUGUGCUUGAGGAUGUCGCUCGCGUGUUGGUGGGAGUGAUUGUUAUUCAUUGUUCAGAGUUAGUUUCUUCGCAUCAGAUUUUUCAAUGUUUCCAUUUUUUGUUUUAUAGGGUUUUAAUGAAGUGACCAUGAUGCUUCUCUGCAUGCUUAAUAAGUUAAAUAAAGGGAUUAGAACCUACAUUUCCCCCCGAAAAGUUUAUGCGCGGAAUAACUUCGAACUGUGAGGAACCCCUGGAAACCAUCCCACUGGCUCCACCAACCCUGCCCACUAAUAUCAAAGGAUGACGUUGCGAGAAUAAGAGAGGAGAAAUACCAUGUGUUUCUAAGGUUCUUUACCAAAAACCCACUAAUUUUGUUCUUAAGAUCAUCUGGUAGUCACUACAUCAUUUCACAAGACAUAAAUCCAUUACUGAGUUUAGAGGACCUCUCUUCUAUUCA